UGGCUCAGGACGAACGCUGGCGGCGUGCCUAACACAUGCAAGUCGAGCGGAGACAUUUGAGUAGCAAUACGAGGAUGUUUAGCGGCGGACGGGUGAGUAACGCGUGAGCAACCUGUCCCAAACAGGGGGAUAACGAACCGAAAGGUUCACUAAUACCGCAUAAGACCACGGAGUCACAUGGCUUUGAGGUCAAAGGAGAAAUCCGGUUUGGGGUGGGCUCGCGUCUGAUUAGCUAGUUGGUGAGGUAACGGCCCACCAAGGCGACGAUCAGUAGCCGACCUGAGAGGGUGAUCGGCCACAUUGGAACUGAGACACGGUCCAAACUCCUACGGGAGGCAGCAGUGGGGAAUAUUGGGCAAUGGGGGAAAAACCCCCUGACCCAGCAACGCCGCGUGAAGGAAGAAGGUUUUCGGAUCGUAAACUUCUAUCCUUGGUGAAAAUAAUGAUGGUAGCCAAGAAGGAAGCCCCGGCUAACUACGUGCCAGCAGCGGC
RNAcentral lists this ribosomal RNA (492 nucleotides) under uncultured bacterium. Its description in RNAcentral is "bacterial SSU rRNA". It matches the Rfam family "Bacterial small subunit ribosomal RNA", at positions 20 to 518 of the family's 1533-position model. The record is from RNAcentral.